RNAcentral lists this ribosomal RNA (497 nucleotides) under uncultured bacterium. RNAcentral describes it as "partial 16S ribosomal RNA". It matches the Rfam family "Bacterial small subunit ribosomal RNA", at positions 28 to 507 of the family's 1533-position model. The record is from RNAcentral.
GAUGAACGCUGGCGGCGUGCCUAAUACAUGCAAGUCGAGCGAACAGACGAGGAGCUUGCUCCUCUGACGUUAGCGGCGGACGGGUGAGUAACACGUGGAUAACCUACCUAUAAGACUGGGAUAACUUCGGGAAACCGGAGCUAAUACCGGAUAAUAUAUUGAACCGCAUGGUUCAAUAGUGAAAGACGGUUUUGCUGUCACUUAUAGAUGGAUCCGCGCCGCAUUAGCUAGUUGGUAAGGUAACGGCUUACCAAGGCAACGAUGCGUAGCCGACCUGGGAGGGGGAUCGGCCACACUGGAACUGAGACACGGUCCAGACUCCUACGGGAGGCAGCAGUAGGGAAUCUUCCGCGAUGGGCGAAAGCCUGACGGAGCAACGCCGCGUGAGUGAUGAAGGUCUUCGGAUCGUAAAACUCUGUUAUUAGGGAAGAACAAAUGUGUAAGUAACUAUGCACGUCUUGACGGUACCUAAUCAGAAAGCCACGGCUAACUACGUG